CGAAAGUCUGACGGAGCAACGCCGCGUGAGUGAUGAAGGUUUUCGGAUCGUAAAGCUCUGUUGUUAGGGAAGAACAAGUACCGUUCGAAUAGGGCGGUACCUUGACGGUACCUAACCAGAAAGCCACGGCUAACUACGUGCCAGCAGCCGCGGUAAUACGUAGGUGGCAAGCGUUGUCCGGAAUUAUUGGGCGUAAAGGGCUCGCAGGCGGUUUCUUAAGUCUGAUGUGAAAGCCCCCGGCUCAACCGGGGAGGGUCAUUGGAAACUGGGGAACUUGAGUGCAGAAGAGGAGAGUGGAAUUCCACGGCCCUAAAUGCGUAGAGAUGUGGAGGAACACCAGUGGCGAGCGACUCUCUGGUCUGUAACUGACGCUGAGGAGCGAAAGCGUGGGGAGCGAACAGGAUUAGAUACCCUGGUAGUCCACGCCGUAAACGAUGAGUGCUAAGUGUUAGGGGGUUUCCGCCCCUUAGUGCUGCAGCUAACGCAUUAAGCACUCCGCCUGGGGAGUACGGUCGCAAGACUGAAACUCAAAGGAAUUGACGGGGGCCCGCACAAGCGGUGGAGCAUGUGGUUUAAUUCGAAGCAACGCGAAGAACCUUACCAGGUCUUGACAUCCUCUGACAAUCCUAGAGAUAGGACGUCCCCUUCGGGGGCAGAGUGACAGGUGGUGCAUGGUUGUCGUCAGCUCGUGUCGUGAGAUGUUGGGUUAAGUCCCGCAACGAGCGCAACCCUUGAUCUUAGUUGCCAGCAUUCAGUUGGGCACUCUAAGGUGACUGCCGGUGACAAACCGGAGGAAGGUGGGGAUGACGUCAAAUCAUCAUGCCCCUUAUGACCUGGGCUACACACGUGCUAC
RNAcentral lists this ribosomal RNA (853 nucleotides) under Bacillus subtilis. Its description in RNAcentral is "bacterial SSU rRNA". It matches the Rfam family "Bacterial small subunit ribosomal RNA", at positions 376 to 1228 of the family's 1533-position model. Lineage: Bacteria; Bacillati; Bacillota; Bacilli; Caryophanales; Bacillaceae. The record is from RNAcentral.